GAUGAACGCUGGCGGCGUGCCUAAUACAUGCAAGUCGAGCGAACGGACGAGAAGCUUGCUUCUCUGAUGUUAGCGGCGGACGGGUGAGUAACACGUGGAUAACCUACCUAUAAGACUGGGAUAACUUCGGGAAACCGGAGCUAAUACCGGAUAAUAUUUUGAACCGCAUGGUUCAAAAGUGAAAGACGGUCUUGCUGCCACUUAUAGAUGGAUCCGCGCUGCAUUAGCUAGUUGGUAAGGUAACGGCUUACCAAGGCAACGAUGCAUAGCCGACCUGAGAGGGUGAUCGGCCACACUGGAACUGAGACACGGUCCAGACUCCUACGGGAGGCAGCAGUAGGGAAUCUUCCGCAAUGGGCGAAAGCCUGACGGAGCAACGCCGCGUGAGUGAUGAAGGUCUUCGGAUCGUAAAACUCUGUUAUUAGGGAAAAACAUAUGUGUAAGUAACUGUGCACAUCUUGACGGUACCUAAUCAGAAAGCCACGGCUAACUACGUG
RNAcentral lists this ribosomal RNA (497 nucleotides) under uncultured bacterium. RNAcentral describes it as "partial 16S ribosomal RNA". It matches the Rfam family "Bacterial small subunit ribosomal RNA", at positions 28 to 507 of the family's 1533-position model. The record is from RNAcentral.